RNAcentral lists this ribosomal RNA (439 nucleotides) under uncultured bacterium. RNAcentral's name for it is "partial 16S ribosomal RNA". It matches the Rfam family "Bacterial small subunit ribosomal RNA", at positions 338 to 795 of the family's 1533-position model. The record is from RNAcentral.
CCUACGGGUGGCAGCAGUAGGGAAUUUUGCGCAAUGGGCGAAAGCCUGACGCAGCAACGCCGCGUGAUCGAGACGCCCUUCGAGGUGUAAAGAUCUGUCAGUGGGGACGAAACUUGACGGUACCCACAGAGGAAGCACCGGCUAACUCCGUGCCAGCAGCCGCGGUAAUACGGGGGGUGCAAGCGUUGUCCGGAAUCAUUGGGCGUAAAGAGUUCGUAGGCGGUCUGUUAAGUCAGCGGUCAAAGCCCGGGGCUCAACCCCGGCCCGCCGUUGAAACUGGCAGUCUCGAGUUGGAGAGAAGUAUGCGGAAUGCGCGGUGUAGCGGUGAAAUGCAUAGAUAUCGCGCAGAACUCCGAUUGCGAAGGCAGCAUGCCGGCUCCACACUGACGCUGAGGCACGAAAGCGUGGGUAUCGAACAGGAUUAGAUACCCCUGUAGUC